RNAcentral lists this transfer RNA (73 nucleotides) under Felis catus (domestic cat). It matches the Rfam family "tRNA". Rfam says of the family: Transfer RNA (tRNA) molecules are approximately 80 nucleotides in length. The record is from Rfam by way of RNAcentral. RNAcentral also lists the same sequence under 2 other names. Lineage: Eukaryota; Metazoa; Chordata; Mammalia; Carnivora; Felidae.
ACUUGGUGGGCUCAGUCGGAAGAGCAUGUGACUCUUACUCUCAGGAUUGUGUGUUUGAGCCCCACAUUGGGUG